UCGUUACAGUAAUUAAUCUCACCGCCACCGCUAUUUUUAAUCUCAUCAGAAGUAAACACACUGUCCAUCCAAACUAAAUCUAAAUCUAUUUUCAAAUAAACGUAAAAGCCUUGAACAACUUUUAACUUGGAUAUGAGUGUGAAUAACAUGGAUGGAUUGAAAAAGCAUUGUAAUAGCCCAAAUUUGCCCGGCCCAAAUCAGAAGGAAAUAAACAAAAAAAAAAAACAACAACAAAUAAAAAAUAGUCCAUUUUAAAUGUCCAUUUACAAACUGUUAACCAAUUACAAGCCCAACUCAACCCUAACCCAAAAUACAUUAGCAAUACCCAAACCCGAAUAACGCAACACUAAACC
RNAcentral lists this long non-coding RNA (353 nucleotides) under Gossypium raimondii (Peruvian cotton). Its description in RNAcentral is "long non-coding RNA (GRAI_LNC000555)". Lineage: Eukaryota; Viridiplantae; Streptophyta; Magnoliopsida; Malvales; Malvaceae. The record is from RNAcentral.